AUUGAACGCUGGCGGCAGGCUUAACACAUGCAAGUCGAGCGGGGGAAGGUAGCUUGCUACCGGACCUAGCGGCGGACGGGUGAGUAAUGCUUAGGAAUCUGCCUAUAGUGGGGGACAACAUCUCGAAAGGGAUGCUAAUACCGCAUACGUCCUACGGGAGAAAGCAGGGGAUCUUCGGACCUUGCGCUAAUAGAUGAGCCUAAGUCGGAUUAGCUAGUUGGUGGGGUAAAGGCCUACCAAGGCGACGAUCUGUAGCGGGUCUGAGAGGAUGAUCCGCCACACUGGGACUAAGACACGGCCCAGACUCCUACGGGAGGCAGCAGUGGGGAAUAUUGGACAAUGGGGGGAACCCUGAUCCAGCCAUGCCGCGUGUGUGAAGAAGGCCUUAUGGUUGUAAAGCACUUUAAGCGAGGAGGAGGCUACUUUAGUUAAUACCUAGAGAUAGUGGACGUUACUCGCAGAAUAAGCACCGGCUAACUCUGUGCCAGCAGCCGCGGUAA
RNAcentral lists this ribosomal RNA (500 nucleotides) under uncultured bacterium. RNAcentral's name for it is "partial 16S ribosomal RNA". It matches the Rfam family "Bacterial small subunit ribosomal RNA", at positions 30 to 523 of the family's 1533-position model. The record is from RNAcentral.